Molecule: long non-coding RNA, 221 nt
Filed under: Elaeis guineensis (African oil palm)
Lineage: Eukaryota; Viridiplantae; Streptophyta; Magnoliopsida; Arecales; Arecaceae
Description: long non-coding RNA (EGUI_LNC065055)
Source: RNAcentral
AUCCACUCAAAGCAUCACACUGAUUAGCUUCUGCGGGAGUGCUAGCUCACAUAGAAACUUAUAGAUAGCUGAUCUUCUCCUUCUAUAGAUCUCUCAGACUCCUCUGAAAUCAUAGGAAGAAUAAGGAGGAAUUGGUGAUGAAAAGAUGGAGGGAGAACUCUCUUCUUUUUGACUUUUUCUCACCAAAAAAUCCUAGAAUAAAUUUCUAGGUCUCUCACCCA